This 233-nucleotide long non-coding RNA is filed under the name Salvia miltiorrhiza (redroot sage). Its description in RNAcentral is "long non-coding RNA (SMIL_LNC010863)". The record is from RNAcentral. Lineage: Eukaryota; Viridiplantae; Streptophyta; Magnoliopsida; Lamiales; Lamiaceae.
ACUUUUUCUGUGUGUUCUUUAUUUAUUUAUUUUUUCUAUUUUUUAAUUUUUCUUUUUAACAUUUUUUUUCUUUUUAUUUUUUCAUUUAUUUUUCUUUUUUUUAAACAUUACAUUUAUUUAUAUCAAUGGUUACCGUUCCUUACGACAAUAGUUACUUGACCAAAUAACUCAAAAUACAAGUUCUCGUGAGUAAAAAUAACAAUUAUCGUAAAAAGAAAUAAUAAUUUUGAAAC